This 136-nucleotide non-coding RNA is filed under the name Homo sapiens (human). Lineage: Eukaryota; Metazoa; Chordata; Mammalia; Primates; Hominidae. The record is from RNAcentral.
AAAUCACCGUCUUCUGCGUCGCUCACACUGGGAGCUGUAGAGCGGAGCUGUUCCUAUUCGGCCAUCUUGGCUCCUCCCCCUGUCAUCAUACUUCUGACUUAGAAACAAUAUUCUAUAAGACCUUCAAGAUCUAGAG